This 209-nucleotide long non-coding RNA is filed under the name Mytilus galloprovincialis (Mediterranean mussel). Lineage: Eukaryota; Metazoa; Mollusca; Bivalvia; Mytilida; Mytilidae. The record is from RNAcentral.
CUAACAAAUGUGUACACGUAUUUUCUUAUCAGUGGUUAUUAUGAGAAAAAAAAAGUUUAUGAUAAGAUAACUCAUUACUGAAAUAUCAAUACGGAUCAUUAUGUGAACAUGCACUGAUAUUGAAAUUAAGUUUCACUUGUUCCUAUAUAGCCACAUGAUCUUCUGUGGAGAAAUAAGUCAUGUUUGUUCUAUUGAACAGUGAUUCCCCC